UGGAAACGACUGCUAAGACUGGAUAGGAGACAAGAAGGCAUCUUCUUGUUUUUAAAAGACCUAGCAAUAGGUAUGCUUAGGGAGGGGCUUGCGUCACAUUAGUUAGUUGGUGGGGUAAAGGCCUACCAAGACUAUGAUGUGUAGCCGGGCUGAGAGGUUGAACGGCCACAUUGGGACUGAGACACGGCCCAAACUCCUACGGGAGGCAGCAGUAGGGAAUUUUCGGCAAUGGAGGAAACUCUGACCGAGCAACGCCGCGUGAACGAUGAAGUAUUUCGGUACGUAAAGUUCUUUUAUUAGGGAAGAAUAAAUGAUGGAAAAAUCAUUCUGACGGUACCUAAUGAAUAAGCCCCGGCUAACUAUGUGCCAGCAGCCGCGGUAAUACAUAGGGGGCAAGCGUUAUCCGGAAUUAUUGGGCGUAAAGGGUGCGUAGGCGGUUAAAUAAGUUUGUGGUCUAAGUGCAAUGCUCAACAUUGUGAUGCUAUAAAAACUGUUUAGCUAGAGUAAGAUAGAGGCAAGUGGAAUUCCAUGUGUAGUGGUAAAAUGCGUAAAUAUAUGGAGGAACACCAGUAGCGAAGGCGGCUUGCUGGGUCUUUACUGACGCUGAGGCACGAAAGCGUGGGGAGCAAACAGGAUUAGAUACCCUGGUAGUCCACGCCGUAAACGAUGAGUACUAAACGUUGGGUAAAACCAGUGUUGAAGUUAACACAUUAAGUACUCCGCCUGAGUAGUACGUACGCAAGUAUGAAACUUAAAGGAAUUGACGGGACUCCGCACAAGCGGUGGAUCAUGUUGUUUAAUUCGAAGGUACCCGAAAAACCUCACCAGGUCUUGACAUGCUUCUGCAAAGCUGUAGAAACACAGUGGAGGUUAUCAGUUGCACAGGUGGUGCAUGGUUGUCGUCAGCUCGUGUCGUGAGAUGUUGGGUUAAGUCCCGCAACGAGCGCAACCCUUAUUGUUAGUUACCAGCACGUAAUGGUGGGGACUUUAGCAAGACUGCCAGUGAUAAAUUGGAGGAAGGUGGGGACGACGUCAAAUCAUCAUGCCCCUUAUGACCUGGGCUACAAACGUGAUACAAUGGCUGUUACAAAGGGUAGCUGAAGCGCAAGUUUUUGGCGAAUCUCAAAAAAACAGUCUCAGUUCGGAUUGAAGUCUGCAACUCGACUUCAUGAAGUUGGAAUCGCUAGUAAUCGCGAAUCAGCAUGUCGCGGUGAAUACGUUCUCGGGGUUUGUACACACCGCCCGUCAAAC
Molecule: ribosomal RNA, 1251 nt
Filed under: Paulownia witches'-broom phytoplasma
Lineage: Bacteria; Bacillati; Mycoplasmatota; Mollicutes; Acholeplasmatales; Acholeplasmataceae
Description: bacterial SSU rRNA
Rfam family: Bacterial small subunit ribosomal RNA
Source: RNAcentral